RNAcentral lists this ribosomal RNA (251 nucleotides) under Salmonella enterica subsp. enterica serovar Albany. Its description in RNAcentral is "partial 16S ribosomal RNA". It matches the Rfam family "Bacterial small subunit ribosomal RNA", at positions 1 to 246 of the family's 1533-position model. Lineage: Bacteria; Pseudomonadati; Pseudomonadota; Gammaproteobacteria; Enterobacterales; Enterobacteriaceae. The record is from RNAcentral.
UUAAAUUGAAGAGUUUGAUCAUGGCUCAGAUUGAACGCUGGCGGCAGGCCUAACACAUGCAAGUCGAACGGUAACAGGAAGCAGCUUGCUGCUUGGCUGACGAGUGGCGGACGGGUGAGUAAUGUCUGGGAAACUGCCUGAUGGAGGGGGAUAACUACUGGAAACGGUGGCUAAUACCGCAUAACGUCGCAAGACCAAAGAGGGGGACCUUCGGGCCUCUUGCCAUCAGAUGUGCCCAGAUGGGAUUAGCU